CGACCGCUGGCGGCGUGCUUACCACAUGCACGUCGCCCGGCAAGGCCCUGCUUGCAGGGUACUCGAGUGGCGAACGGGUGAGUAACACGUGGGUGAUCUGCCCUGCACUUCGGGAUAAGCCUGGGAAACUGGGUCUAAUACCGGAUAUGACCUUCCAUGUAGUGUGGGGGGUGGAAAGAUUUAUCGGUGUAGGAUGAGCCCGCGGCCUAUCAGCUUGUUGGUGGGGUAAUGGCCUACCAAGGCGUCGACGGGUAGCCGGCCUGAGAGGGUGGACGGCCACAUUGGGACUGAGAUACGGCCCAGACUCCUACGGGAGGCAGCAGUGGGGAAUAUUGCACAAUGGGCGGAAGCCUGAUGCAGCGACGCCGCGUGGGGGAUGACGGCCUUCGGGUUGUAAACCUCUUUCGACAGGGACGAAGCUUCGGUGACGGUACCUGUAUAAGAAGCACCGGCUAACUACGUG
This 463-nucleotide ribosomal RNA is filed under the name uncultured bacterium. RNAcentral describes it as "partial 16S ribosomal RNA". It matches the Rfam family "Bacterial small subunit ribosomal RNA", at positions 30 to 507 of the family's 1533-position model. The record is from RNAcentral.